This 63-nucleotide transfer RNA is filed under the name Dipodomys ordii (Ord's kangaroo rat). It matches the Rfam family "tRNA", at positions 1 to 62 of the family's 71-position model. Rfam says of the family: Transfer RNA (tRNA) molecules are approximately 80 nucleotides in length. Their secondary structure includes four short double-helical elements and three loops (D, anti-codon, and T loops). Further hydrogen bonds mediate the characteristic L-shaped molecular structure. tRNAs have two regions of fundamental functional importance: the anti-codon, which is responsible for specific mRNA codon recognition, and the 3' end, to which the tRNAs corresponding amino acid is attached (by aminoacyl-tRNA synthetases). tRNAs cope with the degeneracy of the genetic code in two manners: having more than one tRNA (with a specific anti-codon) for a particular amino acid; and 'wobble' base-pairing, i.e. permitting non-standard base-pairing at the 3rd anti-codon position. Lineage: Eukaryota; Metazoa; Chordata; Mammalia; Rodentia; Heteromyidae. The record is from Rfam by way of RNAcentral.
GGGAAUGUGGCUCAGUGGUAGAGUGCUUGCCUAGCAUGCAUGAAGCCUUGGGUUCCAUUCCUC